Molecule: ribosomal RNA, 527 nt
Filed under: uncultured bacterium
Lineage: Bacteria
Description: bacterial SSU rRNA
Rfam family: Bacterial small subunit ribosomal RNA
Source: RNAcentral
GACAAUGGGCGCAAGCCUGAUCCAGCAAUGCCGCGUGCAGGAUGAAGGCCUUCGGGUUGUAAACUGCUUUUGUACGGAACGAAAAGCCCUGGGUUAAUACCCUGGGGUCAUGACGGUACCGUAAGAAUAAGCACCGGCUAACUACGUGCCAGCAGCCGCGGUAAUACGUAGGGUGCGAGCGUUAAUCGGAAUUACUGGGCGUAAAGCGUGCGCAGGCGGUUUUGUAAGACAGAGGUGAAAUCCCCGGGCUCAACCUGGGAACUGCCUUUGUGACUGCAAGGCUAGAGUACGGCAGAGGGGGAUGGAAUUCCGCGUGUAGCAGUGAAAUGCGUAGAUAUGCGGAGGAACACCGAUGGCGAAGGCAAUCCCCUGGGCCUGUACUGACGCUCAUGCACGAAAGCGUGGGGAGCAAACAGGAUUAGAUACCCUGGUAGUCCACGCCCUAAACGAUGUCAACUGGUUGUUGGGUCUUAACUGACUCAGUAACGAAGCUAACGCGUGAAGUUGACCGCCUGGGGAGUACGGCC